UAAGCAAGACAUGAAAGCGUAUGGCUCAACCAUAUAUCCAUGUUUGAACUGCUUAGCUAGAGAGUGGAAGAGGUCGCUAGAAUUCCUGGUGUAGGGGUGAAAUCCGUAGAUAUCAGGAGGAAUACCAAUGGCGUAGGCAGGCGACUAGUCCAUUUCUGACACUGAGGCACGAAAGCGUGGGGAGCGAUCGGGAUUAGAUACCCCGGUAGUCCACGCCGUAAACUAUGGAUGCUA
RNAcentral lists this ribosomal RNA (234 nucleotides) under uncultured Candidatus Saccharibacteria bacterium. Its description in RNAcentral is "partial 16S ribosomal RNA". It matches the Rfam family "Bacterial small subunit ribosomal RNA", at positions 584 to 818 of the family's 1533-position model. The record is from RNAcentral. Lineage: Bacteria; Candidatus Saccharimonadota.